RNAcentral lists this long non-coding RNA (1762 nucleotides) under Apis mellifera (honey bee). RNAcentral's name for it is "uncharacterized LOC102653997, transcript variant X1". Lineage: Eukaryota; Metazoa; Arthropoda; Insecta; Hymenoptera; Apidae. The record is from RNAcentral.
UUUAGCUCGUAAAUAGAAUAUGUCGAAAUGUCUCGGCAAUUACGGAUGUUUUGUACAUAGCAAUCAGUUCAUUCGAUAUUCAGAGAACGUAAGACUCACGCGCCAACUCUUGAGAAGCUUGGAAGCCCAAGAUCUCCCUUUCUGGAAGAUCAUUUCCAGUUUCCAUUUGCGAAGUUCCGCCAGCAGCCUGUCGCGCCACAUUUCAAUAACUGCCAAUGGAAAACGACGUGAGGUAAUAGCAACGAGAGGAUUGGAAUCGAAUAAAUCGGUCAGGUUCAAGGAAACUGUCGUUAACAUGAACAACGAUCGAUCAAUGAUCUAGGAAUACUUGGAAAACAAUUAAUUGAAUAUUCAUUUAUUAACGUUAAUAUAUUUUUUAUACUUUUUGUUAUCAUUCUACAUUAAUAAAUUGAGAUAAGUUAAUUUAAAAAGUAAUAGAAUUAAUGAAAUAUAUAUCUCAAUUUUUAAUCCAGAUAGUUGAACAAGAACAUUGAUUAUUCAUUCUAUUUGUGAUUCUUGAAUGUAAUAUGAGUUAUAUUAGAAGAAUCUGAUAUUUUGGUAAAGGAUAUCUUGUAAGGAUAUCUAUAUUUGAUGAACAUCUCUACUAAUUGAAUGCAAAACUUUGAAUUUAUUGUAUAUUGGCGUGGGAUAUAAUAUUUAGGUCAAAUUUCUAUUGCAAUCUCAUACAAACAAAAAGUACAAAUCAAGGAAAGCCACAAUCUCCAACCAAACCAAAAUAUGCAACAACAUCUCACAUCUAUACAUUAUAUCUCUAUAUUACUGCAAAUAGAAAUAUUUUUCAAAAAUUCAAAUGCCAUUACAAGAUCAAUAAAACAUGUAAUUCAAGACUUUCGCACAGUGCAGUAUCUAAACCGGUAAUACAUUCGCACCUUCCUUAAGACCUCGUUCGAAUCCUAAUUACAUUCCAAUUGCAACGGGCACUAUAAUUCAAACGAAACUACCAUGCAUAUCUUCCACAUCACCCAAUUCAAUUAUCUGGCAGGAGAGGACAAUUGGAUUAAUUCGGGCCCUUAAUUCCCUCGCUUCCAACAAUUGAGUUAGAUGGCUUGAUUCCAAACGUUAUUUGUCUCGACCGUCGUAUUAAAAACCGUUACGCACUGUCGGCCACUUACCAGGUGAUGACCAGGUCAUUGGAUUCAAGAAAAUGUAUUGUGCCUCACAAUAAGUUUCAUGGAGCAUUAUAGAGACACGAGGACACAGAAUCUCUUGCGAAGCAUUCACAACACGCAUUUGAUAUCAAUUGACUAUUACUAAAAUAUGCAAAGAUGCAAAGAAUUAACGAUGAUGAUAAUGAAAUGUAUUAUUGAAUCAAAUGAAAGAAAUCUCGCAUUUAUUUUUAUCUUAUUUUAUUUAUUUAAUUACUAAUUAAGGUUAAAGGCAUAGGAUGUUCUCAUUUCACAAUCAUCGAUGACCGAUUGAAAUGUGAGAUAAACACGAAAAAUUCGUACUUACUUGGAACGAGACCAUUCCCCUAACCAGACUUCCUCGACCAAACGAAUAAAUACCCUCGAAUUACACGGGCCAUUACUCUAUGAGUUUAUUUAGCAACAGAGAAUCCCAUAGAACAACAGAACGGAAGGCCAUUACAUGCUUCCUCCAAUUAGGAGAACUCUUGCCGUCGAUCAAGUUACACAGCCAAGUUUUGAGGAUACAUUUUCAAAACAUUCGCAACGAUGGAUGAAUCCUAUACGCUUAACCAUCAUCACUCUGAUUUUUGUGAAUUUGUCCAUAAACGUAACAC